AACGAACGCUGGCGGCGUGCUUAACACAUGCAAGUCGAACGGAAGGGCCCUGCUUUUGUGGGGUGCUCGAGUGGCUAACGGGUGAGUAACACGUGAGUAACCUGCCCUUGAUUUUGGUAUAACUUCAGGAAACUGGGGCUACUACCGGAUAGGAGCUCCUGCUGCAUGGUGGGGGUUGGAAAGUUUCGGCGGUUGGGGAUGGACUCGCGGCUUAUCAGCUUGUUGGUGGGGUAGUGGCUUACCAAGGCAUUGAAGGGUAGCCGGCCUGAGAGGGUGAACGGAAACAUGGCGACUGAGAUACGGACAAGAAGGCUACGGGGGAAAGCAGUGGGGAAGAUUGCACAAUGGGCGGAAGUCUGAUGCGGGAACGCAGCGUGAGGGAUGACGGUUUAAGGGUUGAAAACAGCAUUAGCCUGAGACGAAGCGUGAGUGACGGUAAUGGGUAAAGAAGCACCGGCUAACUACGUG
RNAcentral lists this ribosomal RNA (468 nucleotides) under uncultured bacterium. Its description in RNAcentral is "partial 16S ribosomal RNA". It matches the Rfam family "Bacterial small subunit ribosomal RNA", at positions 29 to 507 of the family's 1533-position model. The record is from RNAcentral.